Camelina sativa (false flax) is the source of this 1159-nucleotide non-coding RNA. The record is from RefSeq and is a predicted model, not a curated record. Lineage: Eukaryota; Viridiplantae; Streptophyta; Magnoliopsida; Brassicales; Brassicaceae.
CCUUAAUUUAAAAUUAUCAAACUUUCCUCUUUCCCACCCUCUCAAUUGCAAAAACCUAAUCUUAUCCCACUUUCUUUUAUUUUUUCUUUUCAUUUUAUUCCAUAUCUUCUCAUCUCGUUAGUUCUUCUCUCACAUCUCUCUUUCCUCUCUUUCUUCUACAAAAUUCCGUCGAACAUACCAAAAAGAGCUGUUAAAGCUGUAACCUUAUAGUAAAGGAGUUGAAGAUUUGAUGGAAGCGCCAGAGAAAUCAAGAAAAACCUCCGAAGAUUGGUUUCUGCAACAACAAGGCCAUCAAAGGAGAUGUUGACAAACUCCUAGAACUCACGAUGAGAUCUGAUGCAACGCUGAACACAUGCUGCUAGGUUGGAACUUCGAAGGACCAGAUCCAACGCCUAGCCAGAUUUGUCCACCACAAACUUGUCCUUCAACCUAUUUAGUGGACCAGACCCGUUUUUCUUACGGACAAAACUUUUCCUUAUAUUAGACCAGAUCCGUUUUUUGUUGACGUAUGAAGUUUAUUGCAAUUGGUAGUUUGACAUUGGAGAAUUCACGGAGGAUGACAAUAUGAUUGACAAAAGAAGUCUAAAAACGUUCAAGAUGACAUUGGUGAACUCCUGAAGGACAACAAUGUUACUACACAAAAAAUGUCUGAAGACGUUCAUAUUGACAUUUGAGAACUCCCGGAGGACAACAAUGUUACUACACAUUGAAGGUAUGCCUCUGUGGACCAGCUUUAUCUUUGUUUUGUCCACUAGAUUUUCAUUUAUGGACCACUUACUUUUUUGUCUAUCCAACCAUGUUGUCUAUUAAGUUCCUGAUGGACCAAAUUUUAUUUGAAUAUCUUAAGUCCAUCAAACUCUUGGAGGACAACAAUGAUACACAGAGAAGGUAUGUCUCUGUUGGUGGACCACAAUAGGCUUACUAUUAUCUUUCCAACUCAUCUUGUCUAUUAACUUCUAGAUGACCAAUUUAUUUAAAAAAAUAUUAAAUUCAUCAAACUCACAUGUUUGUUGUCUAUUGCGCAGACUUGAAAUUGAUGAAUUCUCGGAAGACAACCAUAUUAUUGACCUGGAGAACUCCACCAACUUCAAUCUCUUUUAUAUCUACAUGUGUAUAAACAAUGAUAAUUAAAAAAAAAAUGUUUGCCCAAAAAUUAAUG